UUAUACCACGGCCUAAUAUUCUUACCAGUGGCUCUCAGCAUCAUUGGACCACCUCCCUAUCUCUCGGCCUCCAAGGAGAACACAGAGGUUUGCAAGGAGCAUUCGAAUCAUCGUGCUAUGCCAGCCGAGAAACAGAAAGAAAACAACAAACCUCACGAAGCCUGGACAGUUGCAGUGAACGAAAAACCAUAACCAACAAAAAUGACGUUCAGAUUUAGUGGCAUAUUCUG
Symsagittifera roscoffensis is the source of this 230-nucleotide long non-coding RNA. RefSeq lists it as uncharacterized. The transcript has 3 exons. The record is from RefSeq and is a predicted model, not a curated record. Lineage: Eukaryota; Metazoa; Xenacoelomorpha; Acoela; Convolutidae.